GUCGCAUUACACCAAUGAAAAUAUGAAGGCCUACAAGAGUCUCGAGGCUUACAACUAUUUUGCAAGCGGUUGGGUGCGAGAUAUUUUUGUGAAGAAGUUGUCCACGGAUUCAUUUCUAUUGAAAGCCAAAGUCAACCCUUCCCAACGCUCUCCAGACAAGCCACAUGAGGCCUGGGUGAACACACAGAAUGAUGGGACUGUGGUCAAUGGUCACUGCACCUGCAUGGCUGGGUAAGUGAAUCAACAUUGAAUAAACUUGCUUGGUCAUAUCAGUGAUAAUUGUAGACAGUUUACUAAUCAGUCUACUUUAGAUGCACACAAUGACACUUGUGAAUAAUUUAGAUUUUUGUUUGUUUUUACAGCUUGGGUAGCAUGUGUUCCCAUGUCGCAGCCAUCCUCUUCAAAGUGGAGGCAUGUCACCGUACUGGCUUGACUACAGAUGCAUGUACAUCACAACUCUGUAAAUGGAACAAGACAUUUGUGAAGAAGAUUAAAUCUGGGCCAGUCGUUGAUAUGGAUUUUUCCAAGCCAAAUCACAACAAAACAACACGGACAGUCGAGCCUCAGCCUACCAAAGAGAUCAAGGAGCCAAAUCACAGUGAUUUUAUUGCAUUCCUUGCUGAUGUGCAAAAGGUAAACCCCACCACCGUCUUACUCAGUGUAGUGCCAGAGUUUUCUACAGCCACAGAGGAACCAACCCCUCUACACAUGCCCAUACCUCUUACUACACUACUAUACAAACCCGAGUAUAGAACCAUGUCAACACCAGACUUUCAAAGAGAAGUUGAUAAAGUGUUCCUCAGCCUUAAGGUAAGCACUGUCCUCCAGAAAACACUACAUGAAUGAUCUCA
This 851-nucleotide long non-coding RNA is filed under the name Gadus morhua (Atlantic cod). RNAcentral's name for it is "lncRNA (ENSGMOG00000024804.1)". Lineage: Eukaryota; Metazoa; Chordata; Actinopteri; Gadiformes; Gadidae. The record is from RNAcentral.